UACAGAGGGUGCAAGCGUUAAUCGGAAUUACUGGGCGUAAAGCGUGCGUAGACGGUUACAUAAGUCGGAUGUGAAAGCCCCGGGCUCAACCUGGGAAUGGCAUUCGAGACUGUGCAGCUAGGAUGCGGAAGAGGGAAGCGGAAUUUCCGGUGUAGCGGUGAAAUGCGUAGAUAUCGGAAGGAACACCAGUGGCGAAAGCGGCUUCCUGGACCAAUAUUGACGCUGAGGAGCGAAAGCUAGGGGAGCGAACGGG
This 253-nucleotide ribosomal RNA is filed under the name uncultured bacterium. Its description in RNAcentral is "partial 16S ribosomal RNA". It matches the Rfam family "Bacterial small subunit ribosomal RNA", at positions 524 to 776 of the family's 1533-position model. The record is from RNAcentral.